Molecule: long non-coding RNA, 2575 nt
Organism: Manis pentadactyla (Chinese pangolin)
Lineage: Eukaryota; Metazoa; Chordata; Mammalia; Pholidota; Manidae
Exons: 6
Source: RefSeq, a predicted model, not a curated record
CAUGCAAGGACAUUUCCAGGUAAAUAUGUUGUCACCCUGUCAAGUCUUUGUUGAAUGCAGUCAUUCCGUAAAGAGCAAGGCAAUGAGCUGCACAUUGGAUAAGGAAAAAUUAUCUUUUAGUCAGGCUUCCUUCAUUAGUUCUCUGGCUUUAAGUUGCACAGCUUUGAAAGAUCCAUAAUCAUACCUGUCUGACCUGCUUCACAGAGUUAUUGUGAGAUGAGAGCAUGCAAACUGUUCUGCAUAUUAAAAGUGUUCUAAAAAUGAGAAGUUCCUGAAAAGUGAAAAUUAUUCAUAUUCUCUAUUAUUGACAAGCAUUCAGAGAUUUCAUCUUGAGAAGAAUUUACUCAAAUUGAUUGGAACUAGAUGAGUAACAUUCUGUGGUCAAUGGCAGCAAGUCAGUGAAAACAUCUCCCUGUUUUUAUUGCAACUUGCCUUCCAAGCUACUAGUGGAGCAAAACUACACCAGGACUUCUUUUUAAACACAGAUGGCCAAAGGCUAAGAUUUCUUCAGACCUAAAGUAUUUCUUGUCUUAGUUCUUCCAGAAGAAUCUCCUGUUCCACAGGUCCCCUGCCUGAUCUGAAGCCCAUGGUGUGUCAGAGCUGCUGGUGUUGAUUCACAGACAAGCCUAAAAUUCGCCCAGUGCCACAAGCCCCUGCUGCUUUACAAACACUAUCAGGAAGCGGACUGUCACAAUUACACAGCUGGCAAUGUCAGACCCUGACCUCCCAGGGCCCUACAUGCCUGGGACAGACAGUUUGCUUUCUAUUUGGAACCCUGGCAGGUUCUGAACUCCUAUAGCCUCCUGGCUCCAUGACAUCAGGUGCUCAAAGAGGUGACAAAUAUUCCUGGAUUUAUGGUUGGCAAAUCCUACAGAUAGUCCUGAAGUAGAUUGACUGUGGACUAAUGAAAGGAGCUAGCUAUUUUGCUUGACAUUUGGAAGGCUCCUCUUGUUAUAACACAGGAGCCAGCCCGGUUUCACACAUGGACUGAAACACUCCACAAGACUAUGUGCCAAGGGAACUCUGUAACCUUCAGGCAUUUUGCUGGUACAUGCAUCAUUGAAUCACUGCCAUUCUUAAAACCCUUCCUUUCACCUUGUAUUUGAAAAAAAAAAUCUCUAUGCAAUCUAAUAAAGUGCAAUGUUAUUAAACAUUUUGAGUGAAAUGAGCAAGGUAGUGGGAGCAGUAGGGACAAAGUAAAAUGUUGUGUCCCGAGAAAUUGGCUUUACAACCAAGUCAUUGUCAUGCAAGUACUCAACACACCGAUUCAACAAAGUAUCUAAGCAAGAGGGUGUGAUGCUGGGACAUUCAAUAAAUGAAUGAGAAUCAGUUGAUCACCAGGACACGUUGAGAAACAUUUACAACCCCUGCUGUUCAAAGUGUAGGGAUGCAAUCCUGAAUAAAAGCUAGGGUUCUUGUCCUCAGGAGAGCUUAAAUUUCAGCGGGGAGGGCAAAUCCACAUAAUUUCAAGUUUGGCUCUGUUACAAAGAAAAGAAAAGAAUCAGGGUAAUAAAAUACACAGUGAGAGGGUGGAGGUGGUUACUAUAAACCGGCUGGUCAAGGGAGUCUUCAGAUGACACUCAAACCAAACUGGAAUAACGAGGACGCUGCCAGGGGACGUCUGGGAGCACCGUCACAGAAGGGGAACAAGUGCAAAGCAGCCCAGAGGAAUGCUCCCGGCUCGUUAAGAGACCCGUAACAACUUAGACAACAAUCCCAUGAACAUGCUAACCUGCAGGGUUGAAACCAGAUCCCUUGAGACUGCUCUGCAGUGUGUCUCUGAGGCUUUGGAGAAGAGCGGGGUUGGCCGAACUGCCCACUGGGACAGACAGGACUGAGCGCUAGAACCAGCCCGACUGCCUUCUCUGAACUGCAGCCUGUUCAGAGCCAGAGAAGACUGGGAGUUCGUUUCCUUCCCGGAAGAGGACUGCAGGUUUGAGCAUGACCAACUUGAGGAAGGACGAAAAACGGGCAGCCAGCAAGCAGAGGUCAGUUUGAGGAUCUGUUCGGCCUGCACAGUGUGGACUCAUAUGCAAAUCUGGCUUAAUCGGAAAAUCUAGAUUUUCAUUUUUCCCUCGGGAAAACAACUGAGUAGCAAUAAAUCCCGCUGGCUUGGGGCUGUGGGUCAAUGACCACAUGGGCCACCACUGUCUCACUGCUUCCAUCAUUAUUCCCCCCGACCCAAGCCCCUCUGGGUGUUAUAAAACUUGCCUUGGCCCCUGCAGGACUCGGGUCUGCUGUCGGGAAACUAGCUCAUCCAUGAGCCUGUCUGAGAGAGGAGGGUGGAUGAGGGGGAAGGCAGGAAGAUGCUCUGUAGGUUGCAAAUGGAAGGUUUAAGAAUGGAUGAGAACAGUGUCUUCAAGUGCACCUAUACUCUGGCUUUGCAUAUUGAUGCCCACAUGGACAGGAGGCUCGGGGUGAGCACGUGAUUUCUUAAGAUGAGGGAUUUGAACUAAUUUGCAGCUGAAAGGAAUGAGUGUGAAGAGGCAGUGCAACAUUACCUUGUUGUCAGAAUUGCUUGCAGAAAGUAAGGAUUUCAAAGCACACUAACUUGACAAGCAAAGGAAACCUUCUG